AGUGGUGGGUAUGGUCGGGGUGGGGAAGCGGGGGGCCGGCUCGAGCUUUCAGUCACUGUACGUGUACAGACAGGAGGAGGAGGAUGAGGAGGAGGAGAGGAGGGGGGUCGGUGAACAGGCUGCCUGACGUCACGAGGGCUUCUUAUCUAUAACUACCCACCCAGUCCUGCCAUAGGCCGGAUUGCGAGCCGGGAGUGGCUUUCCCAGCUGUCAAUAUAACGCUGAAGUCAUUUGCAUGACAGCACAGGAGCGCCAGCUCCUCCAUUCUUUCCCAAUAGUGUCGGUGAGUCUCGAGCUCGAUAAUCUAUAGCUUUCUCCCUGACUGACUACUUCUCUCAGGCUUUCGUUCCCGCCCACUUUUUUUUCUCUCCCUCACUCUCUCUCUUUCUCUCGUUCACCUCCACUACCCUGUACCUUGUGGAGUUAGUGGCGGAGUGGGUAGAAGUGGCGAACUUCGCACAGUCUUCAUAUUUCUCUUCAAGAAAUAGUUUGCCGGUAUAUGUGGUUUUUUUUUUUAAACGUGCUUUCUUUCUAUCGAGUGGGUGUAAAUGGACACGGUAAUGCAUCGUCACUUCCACCCUCGACCGGAGGUCAGAAGUCACCGCACAUGCGCCUCAAGACUGACCAUAUCGAGCCCGGCGCAUCAGACGAGAGCGGCGACGAAAGAUAAUACAAGUAGAUUGACCCACAACCAAUGAAACAGUUUCGAAGAUAAACUAUUCUGGUCUUGUCCACCUUGUGAAACCACGAAAAAAUGUCUUGAUCAUUUUCUAAAGUGCAGCUGUUGCAGGAUUACCAGGAGAUUAGCUUCGUGGAAGCUCUGGACUUCGAGGGCUUUGGGACGCAGCAAUGGAGGAAAAUUACGACGUGAAACGAACGCACACUGAGAGUUCGAUGUGAGCGAGGACGAGUCACACACCCUGUGUACCCGAGGUGUUGCAGAGAAUAAAGAGCGAUCAGGGUAGCUCACCACAUGUCAA
This is a long non-coding RNA of Pomacea canaliculata, 980 nucleotides long. RefSeq lists it as uncharacterized. The transcript has 3 exons. The record is from RefSeq and is a predicted model, not a curated record. NCBI's taxonomy places the organism in Eukaryota, Metazoa, Mollusca, Gastropoda, Architaenioglossa, Ampullariidae.